This 592-nucleotide long non-coding RNA is filed under the name Lathyrus oleraceus (garden pea). Its description in RNAcentral is "Pisum sativum (pea) long non-coding RNA (PSAT_LNC009992)". Lineage: Eukaryota; Viridiplantae; Streptophyta; Magnoliopsida; Fabales; Fabaceae. The record is from RNAcentral.
GAAGACGAACUUCUGUGUUUCCAUUUUCUUUUUUUCUUUUUUUAAUUUUUUCUUUUAUUAUUUAAUUUAAUUUGUUUUUAACACAAAAACCAUAAAAAUGUUUAUUUUGUUUUUUUAUUUUAAAUCUUUUUAUUUUUUUAGCCCGGUUCAUAUAUUUAAGGUAGUAUUUCAGUAGCAUAUAAUCUUAAGUGGUCUGGUGGAGAGGAGUGAUUUCAUGGUCUUGAGUGGGGUGGGUUCAAUACCCAUGUUUGUUGCUUUGGUUUUCCAACAUUUUUUAUCUUUCCAUGUUUUUUUCUAACCUUACCAUUUAACUAACAUAUUUCUAUCAUUUAUUCAUUUUUUAUUGUUUUAUUUUUAAUAUGGCUUAUGUGAUUACUCAUUUUUUUUAGGAUUUAUGUGAAUUAUUACAUUUGUGUUUGUUCAUUUCAUUUGUACAAAUUAUUUGCCUUUAUGUGUGGGUUAUGUUACAAUCAUGAUAAAUCAUCACAAUCUCUUUGAUAAAAAAAACAUUCAAAACCAUUUCAAAAUUAAAAAUCAUAUUUUCUCGACUCAAUGUCGAGCCCAUUUUCACACGCUUGUAAGUCGAUUGCUU